This is a non-coding RNA of Paramuricea clavata, 353 nucleotides long. Lineage: Eukaryota; Metazoa; Cnidaria; Anthozoa; Malacalcyonacea; Plexauridae. The record is from the annotation of a GenBank genome assembly.
UGAUGAUGUGAGAAAUACCAAAGUGGUAAAAUAGAGAAUAGUGAACUUAAGUAAGCGACGUUUUUGUCACACCCGACAUUUGGCGGCAUUUUGCAUCAUAGCGCUCGUGUAAGGAAGCAAGAAACUUUAAAAAUCUUAUGUUUUGUCAUAUGUGUUGAAGAUUACCACAAACUGACAUAAACACAGUUUUUAAUCCAGUCCCCCCUCGACAAUCUGACGUCCGUGUUGACAAAAACGUCGCGCUUGCUAUUUGAUAAUUGAUAUCACGUCUAUAUAUGUGCAUAUAAUUUAGUCGUGUGAGUAGCCAUACACUCCUGUAAAUAUGACUAAAUAAAAAUUGUAAAAAUAUAAAC